RNAcentral lists this ribosomal RNA (253 nucleotides) under uncultured bacterium. Its description in RNAcentral is "partial 16S ribosomal RNA". It matches the Rfam family "Bacterial small subunit ribosomal RNA", at positions 524 to 776 of the family's 1533-position model. The record is from RNAcentral.
UACGAAGGGGGCUAGCGUUGCUCGGAUUGACUGGGCGUAAAGGGCGCGUAGGCGGUUCGUACAGUCAGACGUGAAAUUCCUGGGCUCAACCUGGUGGCUGCGUUUGAUACGUGCGGACUUGAGUGCGGAAGAGGGUCGUGGAAUUCCCAGUGUAGAGGUGAAAUUCGUAGAUAUUGGGAAGAACACCGGUGGCGAAGGCGGCGACCUGGUCCGAUACUGACGCUGAGGCGCGAAAGCGUGGGGAGCAAACAGG